This 3557-nucleotide long non-coding RNA is filed under the name Homo sapiens (human). RNAcentral's name for it is "prostate cancer associated transcript 7, transcript variant 10 (PCAT7)". Lineage: Eukaryota; Metazoa; Chordata; Mammalia; Primates; Hominidae. The record is from RNAcentral.
AGGAUAUAAAUAAUGCUGAAGCAGAGUUACGUUUUUUUUGUUGUUGUUUUUUUUGUUUUUGUUUUUUUAGGUUUCCGUGUGUUUCUAUUGAGCUGCUCAGUGCCCGGCUUAGAAGACCAGGAAAAGGAGUCACAGGUCGUAUGCUGGAGGCUUGAGCCGCGGCACCGUGGCGCGGCUCGCCUCGCUGCGGUUGGUGGUGGCGGUGGACAUUGCAGCGCGGCUGGAGGGGUAGGAAGAAGAAGAUAGUUUUGGGAUAGAUAGAGGUGAGAUAUUCCUGCACAUCCUCUGGUGACCCCAGAAUGAGGGGGACUCGCUGGUGAAUUGCCUCGGGCUUCACGUCCAGUACAGGCUGGGUCCCCGUGGUCGCCAAGCCUCCUGCCUGCUCAAUGAUGUAGGCCACGGGAUUGCAUUCAUACAGGAGCCGGAGCUGUGGAGGAACAGAGGCAGGACAAAUUCACCAAGAGCCUAGCAACAUGAAGAGAGAUGCCAGGAAGAAGAGAGAAGCCAGGAAACAAGCCAACCGCACAAUCCCCACAUCAGAGCAGGAGAAGAUGGGGGCCUGCUGGCAGAGCUGGGGCUUGGCUGUGGUCACUCUGAACCUGCUCUUUGGUGUUUUCAUGAGUGGUGGGAAGAAUAGGGACCAUAUGGAGCCCACACAGGAAGCUCUAGCAGUAACACAGCAAGCAGGAAGACAAUUCUAAGGAAGCAGCCCAUAGUCUUCUUUCUUUUCCUGUGCAUCUUCCACUGUCAGUGAGGCUCCUCAUUUAUGGUGAACCCAACUGUGUGUAUCUCCCAAGUUCUCACCCGCAGAUUAAUGUUUUCAGGAAGAUAGGCCAUCAACAGUGAGAGGAAGAAGUUACAUUGUCGUAUGAGGGAUGCAUUUUAACCAUUAAUUUGUGGUACAGGCUGGGCGCAGUGGCUUAUGCAUGUAAUCCCAGCACUUUGGGAGGCCGAGGUGGGUGGAUCACGAGGUCAGGAGAUCGAGACCAUCCUGGCUAACAUGGUGAAACCCCGUCUUUACUAAAUAUACAAAAAAUUGGCCGGGCGUGGUGGUGGGCACCUGUAGUCCCAGCUACUCGGGGGGCUGAGGCAGGAGAAUGGUGUGAACCCGGGAGGCAGAGCUUGCAGUGAGCCGAGAUCGCGCCACUGCACUCCAGCCUGGAUGACAGAGCAAGACUCCAUCUCAAAAAAAAAAAAAAUGUGUGGUACAGUUAUUUUGUUUAUGUUAGUGAUUCAAUCAUAGAAACUAUUCAGUUUCUGGUAUCCCACUCUUACCUGGAGAAAAGAGGAAGCCGCUUUCAUCAGACACUGUGUUCACCCAGCGUAAGGAAAAAGUUGGUAAAAUCUAAAGGAAUCCUCAGACAUAUUAAUAAAAGUGUGCCCAGUCCCUCUCCACAACCCAUGUAGCCACUGUGGUCAGUACCUGCAGGGCAUCUCUCAAAUACCCCUAUGUCUAGUUCUGGUGAUAUCAGUCACUAAAAAUGGGAUCAGCUUGUGGCAGAUACCACCUUAAAUGCUCAUGUCUGUCUCAGUCACUAGGAGGAAAACCAGAGCCUGGAAACCAGAUCCAUUUUGAUGAAUGUCCAAGAUUUUGAGAGUGAAAAACUCCAAAAUGACAGCUCACAGUUGGCAGCUAGGCCAGAAGGUUCCCAAGGAACAUCAGAGGUAUUCCCGGAAUAUAAAGAGGCAAGGCCACAGAAUGACUCCACAUAGCAGAGGUGUUGCUACGAGAGGUGACACUGUCCCUGUCAGAAACAAGUCAGUGCCAAGGAGACUCAAUAACAAAAACAACUAAACAAUCCUUUCCUGCCUAACAUGAGUGACAACUGCUUCUAUAUCAGUGACUUCAAUCUCUCUGCCUCCUAGAUAAAAAUGAUUAAGGUUCCUUGGGAUUUUCUACAUAGACCAUCAUGUCGUCUGCAAGAACAGUGUUAUUACCUGCUUUCCAAUCUGUAUGUGUUUCAUCAUCUUCCUUGCCUUAUUGUGCUGGCUACAACUUUCAGGAUUACAUAUGUUGGGUAACAGUGGCGAGUGAGGACAUCCUUGCUUUGUUACUGAUCUUAGAGUAUAAGCAUUCAGUCUUUCACCAUUAAAUGUAAUGCUAGCUGUAGAUGUACUUGAUAGAGUUAAGGGACGCUCCUCCUCUAUUUCUUGUUUUCUAAGACUUUCUGUUUUUUCAGAGACAGGGUCUUGCUCUGUUGCCCAGGGUGGAGUGCAGUGGCUUGGUCAUGGCUCACUGCAGCCUCCAACUCCUGGGCUUAAGUCAUCCUCCCAUCUCAACUUCUUGAGUAGCUGGGACUACGGGUAUGCACUACCACCCCCCUCUCCAGCUAAUGUCUUUUUUGAGAUGGGGGUCUUGCUAUGUUGCCCAGGCUGGUCUCAAACUCCUGGCCUCAAGCAAUCCUCCUACCUCAGCAAGUUUCUUUUUUAAAUAAUGAAUGAGUGUUGAAUUUGUUCAAAUGUUUUUUCUCCAUCAAUAGAUACGAUUAUGUGAUUUUUCUUCUUUAGCCUGUUGAUAUGGUGGAUUACACUGACUGAUUAUGAAUACUGGAUCAGUCUUCCAUCACCAGAAUAAACCCCACUCAGCCAUGGUGUAUAAUUUAUUUUAUGUAUUGUUGAAUUCUAUUUGCCAAUAUUUUGUUAAGAGUUUUUGCAUUUAUUGAUAAGGAAUAUUGGUCUGUGGUAUUUUUUUGAACAAUCUUUGUCUGGUUUUUGUAUCAGGAUAACACUGGUUUCAUAAAAUGAAUUGGGAAGUGUUCCUUCCUAUUAUCUUUUCUGGAAGAGACUGAAUAAUCUGUGAAUAUUUGUUAUGUUUUUCCAGUAAACCAUCUGAGCCUGGAGAUUUCUUUUCUUGGGCAUGAGUUUCUUAAUAGUAUUGAGCCCUGUAGAUAGCCAUUCAAAGUAUCUAUUUUAUAUUGGGUGAGUUAGAGUAUUGUAGUUUUUGAGACAUUGGUUCGUUUCAUCUAAGUUGUCAAAUGUAUGCAUGUGGAGUUGUUUCUAAUAUUCUCUUUUUAUCCUUUUGAAAAACAAGGCAACCUGAGAUUAACAAUCUACUGCAUAAAUACACAAUUCUCUGAUCAUUUUCCCAAGAUAAAUUCCCAAUAAUUAAAUAAUUGGGUAAAAAUCUUUUGAUACAUAUUGAAAAAUUGUCCUCCAGAAAGAGUGCAUCAAUUUAUACUUUUACCACUAAUAAUAAGAGAGUUCAUUUUAAUUCAGCCUGGUAAACACAAGAUAGCAUUGUCUUUUCAACUUUGUCAAUUUGACAGGUGGACAAAAUGACAUCUCUUUUGUUUUAACUUCUAUUUUUUAUGAGUCAGGUAAAACCUUUUAUAUGUUUAUUUUGACCAUUUUUAUUUUGUAAGUUGUCUCUUUCAUGUCUUGCUUAUUUUUCUAUCAGGAUAUUCAACUUCUUGUUUAUUUUAAUAGCUCUUUAUAUAUAAAGGAUAUUAAUGUCUUGUAUAUGUCACAAAUAUUUUCCUCGAUUGUCAUUGCCUUCUUAUUUAUGGUGCCUGUUUUUGCAGUGCAGUUUUAAAAUUAAAAUUAUUCAUGACAUUCCA